Molecule: long non-coding RNA, 1447 nt
Filed under: Bos grunniens (domestic yak)
Lineage: Eukaryota; Metazoa; Chordata; Mammalia; Artiodactyla; Bovidae
Description: lncRNA (ENSBGRG00000002427.1)
Source: RNAcentral
AAACAGACUCAAAACCAUAGAGAACAGACUUGUAAUUGUCAAGGGGAUGGAGCUGGGGGAGGAAUGGAUUGGGAUUAGCAGAUGUAAACAAUUGUAUACAGGAUGUGUAAACAACAAGGUCCUACUGAAUAGCACAGGGAACCACAUUCAAUAUCCUGUAACAAACCAUAAUGAAAAAGAAUAGGAAAGAAGAUAUACAUAUAUAUGAAUCUCUUUGCUGUAUAGCAGAAAGUAACGCAACAUUGUAAAUCAACUAUACUUUAAAAAAAUUUUUUUAAAAGGCUUCUAGGAAGCAGUGAAAUUUAUUUUAGAUUUUGACAAAGACAAAUUUGGAUUAGAAAAAUGUUGUGAGGGUACAUGUUAGACAAAGGAGAUAUUUUACUUUUGUGCAAGAGGAGGAAAACACACUUUAUUUCAGAUAAUUGUAGAACCAUUAAACUGGCUCAUUCUUUUUCUCAUGCUAUUAAGAUAUAAGAUGAAUAGAAAAAUAUAUUUAUCAAUCUAUUAUAUCUACUCCUCCCUUCUAAACUAUUGAAAAUCCCACCUACAUUUUCUUUACAGAGCCCACAAAUGCUCUAAUAUUGACUGUUUUUGUUUCUUCCCCUAAACGUUACUUGCUAAAUCUUUUUUCAUCUAAUUUAUUUAUAUAAUUUUUGGCUUACUUUUGUUAAAUGAUACAAAAUAAUUGUAGACCAGGCAAAGUUUGUAUACUCACUUAAAUGUCUCCCUAUCUAACAUCUGUUUUUUUUUUUUUUUCUUCUCCUAAAUGGAAGAAACUUCCUUCUGAAAUAAUUUACUGCAGUCCCAAAUGGCUGUUUAUGGUCAUUUUAGAGAUAAAAUUCCAUAAAUUCAAGUUAGCACUGACAUUUUAAGUGCUGUCAUGUCAAAGCUGGGGAAUGGAAACCAUCUCACUGGGUUCUCUAAAGUGGAAGCAUCUUUUGUCUGCUUAUUACUGUGAGAAAUGGCCGGAUUAAAGCCUCCAAAUGUUUCAGUGAUGCAGAGCAAAGGUGACUUCCUGUUUUGUUUUAGGGUUUGUUUCCUUCUCUUCUCAAUGAAGGCUGUGUUUUCUGACAUUCUGCAAUCUUUUUGCUCAGUGAUUUCCCAUUGAAAGGGCAGGGUAGGAGGGCCUCUGCAGGUCAUUCUAUUUACAAUAUGCCCUGAAAAGGGAGGAAGCGGGGAGAGGGAGGGAAAGAGGAAGCUCAUUAGUGGAAGGAGCAGACCAGGAGGGGAUCUGUUUUCCAUUUUCUUUUCUGGAUUGAGCUCAUUUGGAUGGAAAGGAUAUUAUUGUUAUCCUUAUCAUCAUUAUCAUUACCAGUGUGGUCUAAUUUUCCUACACGUUUGUCUCAAGUGUGAGGUGAAUUUAUUGGUAGAAGAGUUAAUAAGUGCCAUUUUAUUUUAGUAAAAUCAGGGGUGGGUGCGUGAGGGAAGCCCAAGUACUUUAAAGCAG